AAUAAAAAUAUCUGCUGAGUGAAUAAUCGUGAAUGAAGAUAGUCAUGGAGCCUUGUGACCUGUUCAUAAAAGAGCCCUCCAAGUUUCCCACUUCUCAGAAAUGCUGGUCAGCUUAAUUCAUGGCCUCCAAAAGGAGACUGAGCUCUUCACAGGAAAAUGGCUGAAUCUUGCUGGCUCGGGGAGGGAGAGUGCAUAUGAAUACGGAAUAUAGCUUACCUGCAUCUAGAACAAUCUUUGCGUACUGGGCGUGUACUACAAAAAUCAGAAGAAAUGCAUAACGCAGAACUGAGCUGGCGUCCGCCUGAAGGGUAAGGUGGCCCGGCUCCUCCAACUGGCUCUCAGGGACACUAAAGCUCCUCACUCAGCAAUUAUACCUGCUGGAGCCACACCCAAGCCCGGAGCACCCUCACGCCUUUGUCUCUUGGGGAUGGGAGGGUGCUGGUGAGCACCAAUGAAAUCCUCGAGGAGAUUACAAAUAAUUAAAGGAGAUCCACAGUU
RNAcentral lists this long non-coding RNA (498 nucleotides) under Rattus norvegicus (Norway rat). RNAcentral's name for it is "long non-coding RNA NONRATT012399". Lineage: Eukaryota; Metazoa; Chordata; Mammalia; Rodentia; Muridae. The record is from RNAcentral.